Molecule: ribosomal RNA, 1261 nt
Filed under: uncultured Candidatus Saccharibacteria bacterium
Lineage: Bacteria; Candidatus Saccharimonadota
Description: bacterial SSU rRNA
Rfam family: Bacterial small subunit ribosomal RNA
Source: RNAcentral
CAUGCAAGUCGAACGGAAUCUUAUAUGUUCCUUGUCUCGAAUCUUCGGAUUAGAGCUACGGAACAAUAAGAUUUAGUGGCGGACGGGUGAGUAACACGUUGGUACCUACCCUCUAGUGGGGAAUAACUUCGAGAAAUCGAGGCUAAUACCGCAUAAUAUCUACGGAUUAAAGCAUUUAUGCGCUAGAGGAGGGGCCUGCGUCUGAUUAGUUAGUUGGUGAGGUAAAAGCUCACCAAGGCGACGAUCAGUAGCUGGAUCGAGAGGUUGACCAGCCACACUGGGACUGAGAUACGGCCCAGACUCCUACGGGAGGCAGCAGUGAGGAAUCUUCCACAAUGGACGAAAGUCUGAUGGAGCAAUGCCGCGUGCAGGAUGACGGCCUUCGGGUUGUAAACUGCUUUUAUAUGGGAAGAUUAUGACGGUACCAUAUGAAUAAGGACCGGCUAACUACGUGCCAGCAGCCGCGGUAAUACGUAGGGUCCAAGCGUUAUCCGGAAUCACUGGGCGUAAAGCGUUUGUAGGCGGAAAUUUAAGUGAGAUGCGAAAUCUUGUGGCUCAACCAUAUAGACGGUAUCUCAUACUGGGUUUCUAGAAGAUAGCAGAGGUAAGUGGAAUUAGUAGUGUAGCGGUAAAAUGCGUAGAUAUUACUAGGAACACCAAUGGCGAAGGCAGCUUACUGGGCUAUAUUUGACGCUGAGAAACGAAAGCGUGGGGAGCGAACAGGAUUAGAUACCCUGGUAGUCCACGCCGUAAACGAUGUGUGCUAUUAGUUCGAGGUAUCGACCCCUUGGGCUGAACAGCUAACGCGUUAAGCACACCGCCUGGGGAGUACGAGCGCAAGCUUAAAACUCAAAGGAAUUGACGGGGACCCGCACAAGCAGAGGAUGAUGUGGUUUAAUAUGAAGCUACGCGUAGAACCUUACCGAGGUUUGACAUCCCAGGAAGUCAGUCGAAAGACAGAUGUGCCUUCGGGAACCUGGUGACAGGUGCUGCAUGGCCGUCGUCAGCUCGUGUCGUGAGAUGUUGGGUUAAGUCCCGCAACGAGCGCAACCCUUAUCGUAUGUUGAAUUUUUCAUACGAAACUGCCCGGGCCAACCGGGAGGAAGGUGGGGACGACGUCAGGUCGGCAUGGCCCUUACACCUCGGGCCACUCACGUCAUACAAUGGCCGGUACAAAGGGCAGCUACCCCGUGAGGGGAUGCUAAUCUCUAAAGCCGGUCUCCAGUUCGGAUCGAAGUCUGCAACCCGACUUCGGAAGCUG